Molecule: non-coding RNA, 91 nt
Organism: Onygenales sp. PD_40
Lineage: Eukaryota; Fungi; Ascomycota; Eurotiomycetes; Onygenales
Source: the annotation of a GenBank genome assembly
GGCACAGUGGUAGAGUGGUUAAUACGUAUCCCUUGAAUUUUUCAGCCAGGAUAUCCCUUAGGGGUCGCAGGUUCGAAUCCUGUCUGUGUCG